AAUCAUGUCUGAGUGAAUUAGUUAUAUAGUCUAGCCUGCGCACUGAUAUAUAAUUUGCGCCGCGGUAAUAUGACCGUCGCAAGGUAGCAUAGUCAGUAGUCUAUUAAUUGGAGGCUUGAAUCAAUCCUUGGAGCACCGAUAAAGUGUCUGCUUUGCGGCGUAUGUAUAUAACUAUUGAGUGAUUAGGCUCUAAUUGUAUAGCCGGUCGAUAAGACGCUAUAUUAGAUAAUAUUAUAUAGGCUUAACUUGGCUAGUGCGUGAAAAGUAGUUUUGUCUCGUUUAUAUUUCGUUCCGGAGAUGAAGAUAAUAUGAGUAACUGUCUAUAUAAUUAUAUUGCAAUGACUAGAAAUUGAUCGUUCGUUGCGGAUUAGGAGAAUUAGUUACUUUAGGGAUUACACCGUGAUAUUCAUAGAGAGUUCUUAUCGACAUGAGUAGUUGCGACCUGGAUGAUGAAUUAUUAUAUCAGCUACGUGUAGGCGUAUUGCACCUGG
RNAcentral lists this ribosomal RNA (491 nucleotides) under Macrobrachium rosenbergii (giant freshwater prawn). RNAcentral describes it as "partial 16S ribosomal RNA". The record is from RNAcentral. Lineage: Eukaryota; Metazoa; Arthropoda; Malacostraca; Decapoda; Palaemonidae.